UCAAUAAAUAUUAGCUGCUAUUGAUACAAU
This 30-nucleotide non-coding RNA is filed under the name Rattus norvegicus (Norway rat). The record is from RNAcentral. Lineage: Eukaryota; Metazoa; Chordata; Mammalia; Rodentia; Muridae.